ACCCGCUGAACUGAAACAUCUAAGUAGGCGGAGGAAGAGAAAACAAUAGUGAUUCCGUUAGUAGUGGCGAGCGAACGCGGAAGAGCCCAAACCAAUGUUGUUUCGGCAAUAUUGGGGUUGUAGGACCACAACAUUCUAUGCUUAGUGAAUUAGAAUACUUUGGAAAGAGUAACCAUAGAGGGUGAUAGUCCCGUAUAAGUAAACGACGAUAUAGAUAGUGGUAUCCUGAGUAGCGCGGGGCACGUGAAACCUUGUGUGAAUCCAGCAGGACCAUCUGCUAAGGCUAAAUACUCUUGAGAGACCGAUAGUGAACUAGUACCGUGAGGGAAAGGUGAAAAGUACCCUGAAUAAGGGAGUGAAAUAGAUCCUGAAACCAUACGCUUACAAGCGGUCGGAGCCUUCGGGUGACGGCGUGCCUUUUGCAUAAUGAGCCUACGAGUUACCGUUACUGGCAAGGUUAAUAGUUUCUGACUAGGAGCCGCAGCGAAAGCGAGUCUGAAUAGGGCGCUUAGUCAGUAGUGGUAGACGCGAAACCGUGUGAUCUACCCAUGGGCAGGUUGAAGCUGUGGUAACACACAGUGGAGGACCGAACCCGUUGACGUUGAAAAGUCUUGGGAUGACCUGUGGGUAGGGGUGAAAGGCCAAUCAAACUCGGAAAUAGCUCGUACUCCCCGAAAUGCAUUUAGGUGCAGCGUUGCGAUAGUUUUAUAGAGGUAGAGCUACUGAUUGGAUGCGGGGGCUUCACCGCCUACCAAAUUCUGACAAACUCCGAAUGCUAUAAAAUGUUUCGCAGCAGUGAGGGCAUGGGUGCUAAGGUCCAUGUCCG
Molecule: ribosomal RNA, 826 nt
Filed under: uncultured bacterium
Lineage: Bacteria
Description: bacterial LSU rRNA
Rfam family: Bacterial large subunit ribosomal RNA
Source: RNAcentral